GUCUACAGCCGGGCCACCCUGAACACGCCCAAUCCCUUCUGAUCUCAGAAGCUAAGCAGAGUUGGGCCUGGUUAGUACUUGGAUAGGAGACCACCUAGGAAGACCGGGGGCUGUAGGUG
RNAcentral lists this ribosomal RNA (119 nucleotides) under Pteropus alecto (black flying fox). The record is from RNAcentral. Lineage: Eukaryota; Metazoa; Chordata; Mammalia; Chiroptera; Pteropodidae.